GAUGAACGCUGGCGGCGUGCCUAACACAUGCAAGUCGAACGGAGUCCAGCCUUUAAGACCUUCGGGUCAAAGAGGGGAAGACUGAGUGGCGGACGGGUGAGUAACACGUAUGCAACCUGGCUCAUAGAGGGGGAUAACAGAGAGAAAUUUCUGCUAAUACCGCAUAAGCACACACUGCCGCAUGGCAGAGGGUGAAAAGAGAAUCGCUAUGAGAUGGACCCGCUUCUGAUUAGCCAGUUGGCAGGGUAAGAGCCUACCAAGGCGACGAUCAGUACCCGAGCUGAGAGGAUGAACGGCCACACUGGGACUGAGACGCGGCCCAAAAUCCUACGGGAGGCAGCAGUGGGGGAUAGUGCACCAUGGGGGGAACCCUGAUGCAGCGACGCCGCGUGAGUGAAGAAGUAUGUCGGUAUGUAAAGCUCUAUCAGCAGGGAAGAUAAUGACAGUACCUGAAUAAGAAGCCCCGGCUAACUACGUG
Molecule: ribosomal RNA, 478 nt
Filed under: uncultured bacterium
Lineage: Bacteria
Description: partial 16S ribosomal RNA
Rfam family: Bacterial small subunit ribosomal RNA
Source: RNAcentral